AUGGAGGAACUCAAGCUGCAGCAGGAAGAGUACAAUAGGACUGAGAAUGAACUACAGUUCUGGGAACAACAGAAUGAAGCUUGGCGCACCAGAUUAACAGCUUUACAAGAAUACAUAGAAGCGCAGCGAGCUGAAGCAAAGCGAGUGUUAGACACCGCGCGGGAGAAGAGAGUCAAUCUUGUUGUCAACAGCAUACAACAGUGGAAUGAGAAGCUGGCACAGUGAUGUAAUAAAAAUAGGUUAAGUUUUAUGUCAGUAAUAUAAUAUGACUUUUAUUAAUUAUGUAACUAUGUAUAUGACCUUUACUGUUGGUGAUUCAGACCCAUGAACCAAAUACAAAGUUCAGACCUCUCCGGAAGAGGUUCAUAUUGAAUUUAAAUACACAUUUCAUGAUGAAUUCCCACAGAAAAAGAUGCAGUGCAUUUGUAAAUAAUUAUAAUUUCAUUGUAAUAGAAUAAUUGAGGCGAAAUGUAUAAUUAGGUUUAUGAUAAUAAAAUAAAAGCUGUAAUUUUACUAACA
Molecule: non-coding RNA, 519 nt
Organism: Spodoptera litura
Lineage: Eukaryota; Metazoa; Arthropoda; Insecta; Lepidoptera; Noctuidae
Source: RefSeq, a predicted model, not a curated record